UGCACUUGGACUGCUCAAGCCGGAAUAUUUCUUCAGCACAACAAAGAAGCCGUUGUACAAAGGAAGAUGGCUUCAACAGACCACCAUUGUCCCUAAGGAUGAUCAGAAGGGUUGACGUGUCAUCAUCAAGAAGGGUAUCAAGGCACCCAUCACAUUGUCAUCUGCAGACGGCGGCGGACCGCACUCAAGUGAAGAUUCCUCUGCUUUAGUUGCCGUACACUUGACCUGGGAGUUGUUUUGCUCUGUGUCAACUUCUGGGGAUGCACUUGGCUGGCUUGAUUUGUCUCCUCCCAUGUGUGAUGCUUGUGAUGGGGAUUCUUGCCCACUUUCGUGAGUGUCAACCAAGACAGAGGUCUGUUAAAAGUGCAGUAAGGUGAAGCUUGUUUUGGCUAAUGAUGCCCACAAAGUUUUUUUUCUUUUUUCUUACUUUCAUGUUAGCACCACGAAGCAACUAUGGCUAUGAGCGGCGUGAUGCCCAUACUGAAGAGGAAACGUGAUCGUGUAUUUACCAGUUUGUGCUUCCUUGGGAGUCUACAGUAGGGAUGCUCCUCAUGAAGCUGCAUUGGCAUAUGUACCUGCAUAACAAUUUUUCAUGGAGUCACAAGUGAAAACUGCUCCUUACAGGGGAUGCAGCAGGUGUAAGAGGAUUGGCUGGCCGAUCCAACAUCGUACUGCAUCCUGCUUCAUUGUCCUGUAAAAACAAACACGGAGUCAGCAUAAUAACACACAUGGAGAGACACAAAGAGUAUGGCUGACUGAUGUUCAUGAUUACUGUAAUCGACAAAUAUCAAGCUGAUGAGGGUAUGCUUUCAGUGCAUAAACAUGAAAAGCAGGGAGCACCUAUAUUAAUUACCAAGUAAAGCUUUCUCGUUCUA
Ornithodoros turicata is the source of this 875-nucleotide long non-coding RNA. RefSeq lists it as uncharacterized. The record is from RefSeq and is a predicted model, not a curated record. The transcript is spliced from 4 exons. Lineage: Eukaryota; Metazoa; Arthropoda; Arachnida; Ixodida; Argasidae.